CGUGUAGGCGGGCAAUCAAGUCAGAUGUAAAAGGCGACGGCUUAACCGUAGUAUGUCAUCUGAUACUGGUUGUCUUGAGUUCGAGAGAGGGUGGUGGAAUUCCCGGUGUAGCGGUGAAAUGCGUAGAUAUCGGGAAGAACACCUGAAGCGAAGGCGGCCACCUGGAUCGACACUGACGCUGAGGCGCGAAAGCGUGAUAGCAAACA
Molecule: ribosomal RNA, 206 nt
Filed under: uncultured bacterium
Lineage: Bacteria
Description: partial 16S ribosomal RNA
Rfam family: Bacterial small subunit ribosomal RNA
Source: RNAcentral